UUCCGAGGAGACACCUGGCAAGAUCGGUCUUCACAAGAACGCAAGUCCGAUCUCUGCGUUCUUGGAAUUGAGAAACAGCCACAGACAUCGCGAAUUUGACAGGCCAGGUUUUUUUUCUGAGGACAUUUUCCCAGUUUCCCUGGAUUCCCUCGUAUUGAUGGCGAGCCUCCCACGUCGACCUGGAAAAUUGUGAAGUACACACAUUACAAUUUAUCCUCAUUGCACCGGAUAAAGUAAGAAUUUGCCAAAAAGUUAAUUCCUUUAUUGGACUGCGAUUUUUUUUUAAUACAGCUGUAAGGACUGAUUUUCAUGAAGGAAAAAAAAACAGAACUUUAUCUGAAUUGAACUGAUUUCACCAAUUUCAGAGUGAACAACGACACUGAUUUAUUUGUGUUAUUUUAUGGUUUCUUUUGUUUUCACUUGAAUUCAUUUAUUGUGAUUUGUGUUUGAUUUAUGACAAUUGUAAAGUGGGUGCACCCUGGGGAUUGUGUAUAAAUAGUUAUGUUACUGAUGUAAGUAUUGUUUACUAAGAAAAAUACGAAAAAGAAAAAAUUCAUACACUCUAAAGUAAAAUUAUUGUUGUAUUUAAAACAUUCCGUUUGUGUCUGGUUAUUACUCAGUUUACCCCCACCUCCUUUUACUUACCUUGUAGUCUUCUGGUUUUAUUGUCUGGUCCAAUAAUAAAUAAAUAUAGUACACCUGUUACAAGAAGCUGUGGGUUGAGAGCCAAACCUGUAAUCAGGGGCGUAGCAACCGGGGGGACGGGGGGGUAUGUCCCCCUCACUUUUAGAGACAGACCAUUUAGAAAUAGGUGAUUAAGAAUGUAAACGUUUGGAUUUCAUACAACUGCCCCCCCGCCCCCACACACACACACCCCACACACACUUUUAAAAUGUCCACUACGCCCCUGCCUGUAAGUUUUUUUUUCAUUUGUUAAAAUUGAUCUAUUACAUGCAUAGUGUCAAGCAUUAACGCUAUGUUGUAGCAAGAACGUAAACAAGGGGAAAAGCUGUUUAGCACUGUUAACAAUUAAGCUAUAAAUUCAUAUUUAUUUGUCAAACCCUUGUAAACACCCACUGUCUUCACCAGCACAUGCAGUGUCUGUCUAUACAGCCGCUUUCCCUGCAUUCUACAUCUCAAAUAACAAGCUUACAAAAGAAAUGUUAACUUUUCAUUUUACUUAUUACAUGCUUUUAACCAGAAUAUAUAUUUCCAACAUCGUGAAGGAAAGCUAAGCUAAAGCGUUAGUGUUGACUUAUAAUCUUUAAUUUGGUAAUAUUAAGUAUGAUAUUGGUGUUUAUCCUUAUUUAAGCCAUGUAAUUGAAACGGGAUUAUUUUGUUUAGAGGGGAGAAGAGAGUUUUAAGGGUCCAGAGUGUGACGGAAAGAAAACAUAGUGAGUGUUGUACAACUUUAUUGAAUUCAAGUGUUUGAGAAUGUAUUUUCAUAUUUCCUUGAAGAUGUUAUGUUCAAAAUGUCAUGUGUUUACAAAGAUUUUAUUGUAUUUUGUUCUUCAUGAUUUGCAGAGGAAAAAGUCAUUUGCAGCUGUUAAUGCUGUGUGUGUAUUUAUCAUUGAGAGCUGACGAGCUGUAAGUUUGAGUCAUUUAAUUCAUUAUAUUUGAAUUCUAAUGAACACUUAUUCACUGAUUUAAAACUGAGUUUUAAACGUUGUUUAAUUGUAGGAGAAUAUUUGUAAAAUGUUCACAUGGCAACAUCUCAUUCAAUGUAUUUUGUAAUUGUAAAGUGAGAGAUUCUAUUCAAUCUGACUUUGAUGGUGAAUGACUUAAACUUGGUUGUUUGUUUUCUCAGCGUGACUGCUGCUACCGUUGUUUAUGUACUAUUUCAGUUUUGAAAAGUUAUUAUCAGUCAUUGUAAUUACAAGAAAGAAAAGAGUACAACACAUUUGGAUAUAAAAAGUCAAAUUUAUUGUUUUCAGUGGCUGUACACAAUCAUUAACUUUGCUAUUAAAAUUGUCCAAAAUUUGCAUACUUAACGCUGCACUGUUCCAAGUGCAGUCUGGAAUAAAAGUCCCCAAUAUUUUCAA
Danio rerio (zebrafish) is the source of this 2042-nucleotide non-coding RNA. NCBI's taxonomy places the organism in Eukaryota, Metazoa, Chordata, Actinopteri, Cypriniformes, Danionidae. The record is from RefSeq and is a predicted model, not a curated record.